This 148-nucleotide small RNA is filed under the name Pongo abelii (Sumatran orangutan). RNAcentral's name for it is "Metazoan signal recognition particle RNA (ENSPPYG00000030313.1)". The record is from Rfam by way of RNAcentral. Lineage: Eukaryota; Metazoa; Chordata; Mammalia; Primates; Hominidae.
GCCGGGCAUGGUGGUGUAUGCCUGUAAUCCCAGCUACUCAGGAGGCUGAGGCAGGAGAAUUGCUUGAAUCCAGGAGGUGGAGGUUGCAGUGAGCUGAGAUUGCACCACUGCACUCCAGCCUGGGCAACAGAGCAAGACUCUGUCUCAA